AGUCGCAGUUGUCGCAGCGCGCGCUUCAGAGCUCGUCGAGCAGCCAAGUAAUUCACACGUCUUUUGCAUGCUGAACAAUUAGCCAAACGGAUAGCAGCCGUUGGUUCCAGUGUAGAACAAGUCGUUCAAGAGAGGAAUAAGUGAGUGCAGCAAGAAAAAAAAGUUGAUUGGUUGGCAUUACCAUAUAUCGGAGGACUGGUGCGAUCGAGAAGUUCUGUGGGCAAGCUAGUAAAGAACGAGUUGAACUGCUGCGCUGCGGCUGGAGCGCAGUUCUUGUGUGUUGCAUAGCAGACAGAUUAGUAGUGCGGAGGUUGUUAUUGAGUGGCGCCAGUUCAGAAGGGCGACCGUUGACAAAUUCUUGUGAGCAAGCAGAACAUUCAGAGUGACAUUCGAUGACUUGUGUGAUGAGAGGCGAUUUUCUGGAGAAAGUGCAACCCAAACAAGUAUCCAUGAUGGACGCGCUGAUGCGAAGGAACAGUUUCAAUCUAUCGUUCAGUAAGUUGUGGCACCCGAAUUCGGAGAAGACCGGACGCUCCAAGAGCGGCUCCUUCGGGAGUUCGGUGGCGAUCCAGAAGCUGCGCGAGUCCAAGUGGUUCGACCGGGGCGAGGAGCGCAUCUUCUGUGCAGUGAUCGAAGCCGGUUUCAUCGUCGAACUGCGUCAUCCCGAAAUUGCCGAGAGCUGGUUUGGCGUGGCGGCGAUCGAGCUGAAGAAAUUGGCCAAGCCAACGGCCGAAAACAUCAAGAUCUACUCGGUCAAGCUAUCGGACAGCCACAGGCGGUUGAAGAUCUACAACUGCUCGCUGGACCAACUGUGGCAGCAGGGUUACCAAAUUCGGAUCAACAAUCUGUGCGACAAAGCCAAGAAGGCCCACAACGAAAAGGACAUCAUGGCUCAGAUCAAGUACGCCACCAAGACCAAGAUGGCCUUCCACAACAGUCAGCACUUUGCCGAAUUCUGCCGGUACGGUGACCGACCGCAGGACAACCGAAAACGACAAGUAAGUGUACUGUUGAAACGGCUCGAAGAUGCACUGAACGGAUCGCAGACGUACUUUUGAGCAACUCGCGGAUCAAACUGAUACAGAUACCUACCUACACACACGCAUUGAGAGAUCUCCGAGUGCGCCAAAUGGGGCGGAACAAACAUGGGCGCCACCAUAAUCUACUUCGCCAUGCAAUCGCAGAAGCAGAAGGCCAACUCCCGAUGAGCUGGCCGGAAGUUGUAUCCCAUUACUACUGCUGAUGCUGCUUUGAAUGAGAAGUGUGGAGAGAGCGCGCGCGAGAGAGAGUACUAGUCCUCGAUUUUCUCGAGGCCAAGCCUCGGGAUGUCGAGCCCUUAAAAAAGACGUGAUUGUAUUAUAUUUUUGUGUGUAUAAAUAGUCUUUAUUCUAAUGAGAUUAAGUGAUUCUGUUAAUUGUACCGAUGAUGGUACAUUAGGGUGUAAACUGUUGUAAAAUUUACCACUAGAGAUAAGAAUAGCACAAUCUACGUCGUUAGAUUUACUACGCUGAUGUUAGAUACUAAGAGACCGUUUCUUGCAGUAAACAUUGUAAAUAUUUUUGUAAAAUAUUGGAUCCUAAAUUUUAAGGGCUGCAAUCAACACCUGUCAUCGGAAAAUUAUCGUUUUCGUCCGGUACGUGAUCGGAUGUGACAGUUUUUGAAAGGUGGAUGUGAUGCAGCACCCUAUGAAGAUCGUGUAAGGCAGUUAAAUGUGAAAUAUUUUCGCUAAUUUUAGACGACAGCUUUCUGUGCCAAAUUGUUAUACCAUACGUUAGAAAAGAUCUAGCCAGUAAGACAUGAAAUCAACACUAAUAAAGAAUACAUGAGUUAUUACCAAACAAACAUA
Aedes albopictus (Asian tiger mosquito) is the source of this 1846-nucleotide RNA transcript. RefSeq lists it as uncharacterized. NCBI's taxonomy places the organism in Eukaryota, Metazoa, Arthropoda, Insecta, Diptera, Culicidae. The record is from RefSeq and is a predicted model, not a curated record. The transcript is spliced from 4 exons.